AAAAAAACAAACACUAGGUUUUCGUGCUCAUCUUUAACUGUCCGUCUUAUAUAAAAUUUUUUUAUAAUUUAUAAUUUUAUUAUUGUUAGAUGAUAAAAUAUGAUUAAUAUUUUAUACGUGACUUGUCUUUUUAGUUUUUUUAAAUAAGACGGACGGUCAAACGGGAGUACAUUCACUCUUCACUGAAU
Molecule: non-coding RNA, 188 nt
Organism: Oryza barthii
Lineage: Eukaryota; Viridiplantae; Streptophyta; Magnoliopsida; Poales; Poaceae
Source: Rfam